Long non-coding RNA from Anneissia japonica, 1055 nucleotides. RefSeq lists it as uncharacterized. The record is from RefSeq and is a predicted model, not a curated record. NCBI's taxonomy places the organism in Eukaryota, Metazoa, Echinodermata, Crinoidea, Comatulida, Comatulidae. The transcript has 2 exons.
UCUCCUUGGAAAGGUCAUCUUGGCACUGAGAAGAAUAAGGAUAUUCAUGGAUAAAAAAGAAAAACAACAUGGAAAGAGAUGAGGAAUCCUAUGAGCCCUCAAACUUUUAAAAGAAACUGUACUGAGACAAACUAGUAACAUGAAGCGUUAAAGCUUCCGUAAAACAUUUCAACGAGUGCACAAUGUCAAUGGACCGGUGACACCACAAUCAUUCUUACUACUUUGUGGACAGUUGAAAAGAUGGCCAUUAGAAAUUGGUUCCUAAGAACAGAAGAUCUGAUCAAAGAUGUGAUGAUGGUUGAUUGUAGCAGCUGGUGGAUCUACAGUUUUGUAAUCACAAAAGUGAUUGAACUACAGAAUUAAACAUAUUUUAUGCAGUGGUUAAUUAUGUUUGGACGUGAUUAUGUUUCGAAGCCAAAAGUAAUUUAUUGUUAAACUAUCAUAAUAAACAUAAUUAAUUAUUUUAUGCAAUAUUAAAAAAAUAUAUUUGCUACUCUUGUAAAUUCCUUAUUUUAUAACAUUGUUGAUUAAAAUAUUUGAUGUGUCAACAAAUACAGAAAAACAAUAUUCUUUUUUAAUGUGUAUGAUAUUAAAAUAUGGUACUGCAAAUAUUUUUCUUUCUGCAUGGAAAUAUAACAGUAUUUAUAACUGCAUAAUUGGACGGAGUAUGUAGCAAAGUUCAUCAAAAUAGACCUCCGCCCCUAGGUACUGUAGUACCACUACCAAUAUGCCUUCAGGUACAUGCCAGACCUACCUAGCCCAGAUGAAGGCUAGGCCCUAGGCCUACCUCCUUUCAUAGUUAGGCUUACUGUAGGUUAGUCUUGGACAGUAGGCCUGUACCUAGAGGAAGGCCUAGGCUAGGUUGAGAAAGGGUUUCAAUGACAUUGUACAGUACUACAGAAUAGGCUAUUUGUAAUUAAUUGUAUUGUUUGUAACUUUAUUUGGAAGCUUGUUCAGUACUAGGCCAAAGUCUACGAUAUAGCAGUAGUAGCUAGGCCUAGCCUAGGCUAUUUCAAUUGUAAUUAUAAUAAAAUGAACAUUUAAUUUUGAGUAGA